Molecule: microRNA precursor, 63 nt
Filed under: Mus pahari (shrew mouse)
Lineage: Eukaryota; Metazoa; Chordata; Mammalia; Rodentia; Muridae
Description: microRNA 7069 (MGP_PahariEiJ_G0007188.1)
Source: RNAcentral
AGUGUUUGGGGGCCUGGGAGGGUGGCCCUGAAGUCAUCAGCCUGCCCUGGCCAACCCCUACAG